This 718-nucleotide ribosomal RNA is filed under the name uncultured bacterium. RNAcentral's name for it is "bacterial SSU rRNA". It matches the Rfam family "Bacterial small subunit ribosomal RNA", at positions 61 to 793 of the family's 1533-position model. The record is from RNAcentral.
GUCGAACGGUAACAGGAGAAGCUUGCUUCUUGCUGACGAGUGGCGCACGGGUGAGUAAUGCAUAGGUAACGUGCCCCUUAGUCUAGGAUAGCCACUGGAAACGGUGAUUAAUACUGGAUACUCCUUCUUCCUUAAUGGAAGUUGGGAAAGUUUUUCGCUAAGGGAUCGGCCUAUGUUGUAUCAGGUAGUUGGUGAGGUAAUGGCUCACCAAGCCUAUGACACAUAGCGGGUCUGAGAGGAUGAUCCGCCACACUGGUACUGAGACACGGACCAGACUCCUACGGGAGGCAGCAGUGGGGAAUAUUGCACAAUGGACGAAAGUCUGAUGCAGCAACGCCGCGUGGAGGAUGACACAUUUCGGUGCGUAAACUCCUUUUAUAUGAGAAGAUAAUGACGGUAUCAUAUGAAUAAGCACCGGCUAACUCCGUGCCAGCAGCCGCGGUAAUACGGAGGGUGCAAGCGUUAUUCGGAAUCACUGGGCGUAAAGGGUGCGUAGGCGGUUUUGAUAAGUCUGAUGUGAAAUCCUAUGGCUCAACCAUAGAACUGCAUUGGAAACUGUCAAACUAGAAUACUGAAGGGGCAGAUGGAAUUAGUGGUGUAGGGGUAAAAUCCGUAGAUAUCACUAGGAAUACCCGAAAGCGAAAGCGAUCUGCUGGGAAGUUAUUGACGCUGAGGCACGAAAGCGUGGGGAGCAAACGGGAUUAGAUACCCCCGGUAG